RNAcentral lists this ribosomal RNA (252 nucleotides) under uncultured prokaryote. RNAcentral describes it as "partial 16S ribosomal RNA". It matches the Rfam family "Bacterial small subunit ribosomal RNA", at positions 526 to 777 of the family's 1533-position model. The record is from RNAcentral.
CGAAGGGGGCUAGCGUUGUUCGGAAUUACUGGGCGUAAAGGGCGCGUAGGCGGUUGCUCAAGUCAGGCGUGAAAGCCCCGGGCUCAACCUGGGAACCGCGCUUGAGACUGGGCGGCUUGAGUUCGGGAGAGGUGAGUGGAAUUCCCAGUGUAGAGGUGAAAUUCGUAGAUAUUGGGAAGAACACCGGUGGCGAAGGCGGCUCACUGGACCGACACUGACGCUGAGGCGCGAAAGCGUGGGGAGCAAACAGGA